RNAcentral lists this ribosomal RNA (490 nucleotides) under uncultured bacterium. RNAcentral describes it as "partial 16S ribosomal RNA". It matches the Rfam family "Bacterial small subunit ribosomal RNA", at positions 28 to 507 of the family's 1533-position model. The record is from RNAcentral.
GAUGAACGCUAGCGGCAGGCCUAAUACAUGCAAGUCGAACGGGAUCCAGAUCAAAGCUUGCUUUGGUCUGGUGAGAGUGGCGCACGGGUGCGUAACGCGUGAGCAACCUACCCUUGUCAGGGGGAUAGCCCGGCGAAAGUCGGAUUAAUACCGCAUGACAUCAUUGAGAGGCAUCUUUCGAUGAUCAAAGAUUUAUCGGACAAGGAUGGGCUCGCGUGACAUUAGCUAGUUGGUAAGGUAACGGCUUACCAAGGCUGCGAUGUCUAGGGGCUCUGAGAGGAGAAUCCCCCACACUGGUACUGAGACACGGACCAGACUCCUACGGGAGGCAGCAGUAAGGAAUAUUGGUCAAUGGACGGAAGUCUGAACCAGCCAUGCCGCGUGCAGGAGGACGGCCCUAUGGGUUGUAAACUGCUUUUAUACGGGAACAAACGUCGGUACGUGUACCGGUCUGAGUGUACCGGAAGAAUAAGGAUCGGCUAACUCCGUG